CAGCUCUGCUCAGCAGCUCAUUGUGUUCUAGAACCUUCUGAGAACAUCGAUACUGCUGUGCGCUUUUGAUUGUGUUGGUUACUCUGUGGCAAGUCGACAGUGUGCAGCUGCCCUCCAGCUCCUCUCCAUCUCCCUCUCCAUCUCCCUCUACUUCUAUCACAUCUGUCUUUACUGGCCCUUCUAUCCACUCUAUCUAUUAUUGGUUCUUUUCACCUCUCUCCUAUAACAUCUACCACUCAUCCCUUAAUAUAAGGUUUUCUAUCUCUCCUGUCAAAUCUAAUAAAUCUAUCUAAAUUUGAGGUUUUCUAUCAUUCUAUCCCUCUAAUUCUAUCCCGCUCUAUCUACAUUUGGUUCUGCACUUGUUGCAAGUUACCCGCUGGUUCUGGUUCAAAUAUUAUCAUACCCAUUUGUUCUGGUUCAAGGAUUAUUAUAUCCUACCCAUUUGUUCUGGUUGGAAAGCUACAGAUUACUGGUAUCUGUUUUGGAUUCAUGGGUUGAUUGGAACCUGAUCAUUCUGUUUUAUGGAUCUGUGAGUUUCUCUGCUCACACUUUUUCUACCUCUCCUGUCUCUCUCUCACACACAUUUGAUUUGGCCUUUUCAAUUGGCAAAAACCUUAUUGUAUUUUUGAAUUGUCCAUAUUGUAUCAAUAUUCUAUUUGGUAGCAGUCAUAAUUAAAUAAAUUAAGUGUUUUUUGUUCAUUAAAUUAAUUGAAAAGACUGGAAACACAUAAAUAACACACAUUUUGUUUAGCUUUUAUCACAAACAUUUGACUGUAAAAACUAAUUCAAAAUUAGAUCUGGUAAAUUUCCAAAUAUAUAAGUUGCUGUUAUAAAGUGUAUCAUUGAAGACAACAGUCUCUUGUUAAUGUACAUAACAAUAAAUUGAAGUCCAAAUCUAUAUUUAUACAAGAAAAGAGCUGUAGUUGUUCCAGGACCGUGUUGCUGUGGAGCUCUGUACCAAAAGGUUUGUUUUGACUGCAAAUAUAUUCACACCAGAGUACACAUAAUCAGUUUUUGUUUGUGCAAGUGUAAAAGUAAUUACACUACAUACAUUGAGUUAUUUGUCUCUGAUUCACAUAUUUGUACCUCAUCUAUAGAUCCACUCACAUUGUUUACAUCAACAAGUUUUGUACGUGCUUUAUUGUUGGUUAAAUCUUUAUGAAAUAAAUAAACAGACUGUAAGGAGAAA
Molecule: long non-coding RNA, 1189 nt
Organism: Perca fluviatilis (European perch)
Lineage: Eukaryota; Metazoa; Chordata; Actinopteri; Perciformes; Percidae
Exons: 4
Source: RefSeq, a predicted model, not a curated record